AGAGUUUAACAGCCUAUUGAGAUCUGACAACGAACCUGUGCUGUUUAUGUACUUCCAAAUGCAACACGAAAGUGAUCUUAUUGUCUGUGCAAGAAGCCUCAAAGCAAGUGAAGGAAAAACUAGGAUCUUCUUUUUAUUUCUUGAUGUCAAAAAGAAAAUGAACUAGGAAACCCUUUUAGUUUAAGAAAAUCUGGUUCAAAGGUUGUAGCAAGGAAUUUAACUCUUAAAAAAGGUUGUGACCCUUUUAAAAUAUUGGUUAAUUUAGAAAAUUAAAUUUAAGCAAAAAGAAAUCCCUUCUCUCCGCUCCACCAAUGCUGGACUAAAAAAAUUCAAGAAACACUAGGAAUUAGUUAAAAUCUCUUUUAAAUAUUAACACACUAAGUUCUAGUUAUUGAUUAGUAUGGAAGAAUCGAUUUACAAAGCACCUGCAUAAUGACCAUCUCUCAAGCUAAACAAUUCUCUGUAGUGGUGGAGCAAUUACCUCGCAUUUAAAUCAGUCUCGUGCUCUUCACUUCUGAAGUCCCCCCUACUUGCUUAACAAUUUUGCUUCUUACAUUCACACCCUUCCUUCGACCUUGGUCUCAUUUCUUUCUUACAUUCUUAAGACUACUUGUUCUCUUGCUCUCACCAAUGUAUACUAUUUGUUCUCUUCUUCACCAUGCUUCAAUCUAGUAUUCGCCUUGUAUGGUGGGUAUUAUAUUUUGAGGUCAGCUCUCCUUAAUUUUUUACUCUCUAAUGUUCAAAUAGAAAUAAAUCAACCGAUCACAACAGAAAUAAGAAAAGCUUUUCCAUAAUCAAAAGUCAGUGAGUUCAUAUUUUAUAGAAAUUUAUAUUCUUGUUAUAAAUAGUUUAAGUAUGAUGAUGCUUUUUAUCUACACAGACAUUAUCAUUACCCUUUUGAUUUGACAAAUCACAUGAGUAAGGCUCCAUCCAAUGUGAAGAUGUUUUAUGAAUGUUAUACCUGGGCGAAAUAAUGACAAGCAUUAAGGAAAAAAUAGCUCAAGUACAUACAAAUCUACCUGAAGGAGUUUCAGAUGAGGUGAAUAUCAAUGAAACCUUCUCAAAAGUCAUGUAAAAAUAUUAUUAGUUAAUCAUUGACCAAGAGCCUUGUUAUUGAAGUUUGCUUUGUUGCAACUUCACCAAAUCAGAUGAAAUUUUUUAAUCAAAUUUGGUGUGUAGUAUUAUAUUUUCUCUAAAUACUUAAGCACAUCUAAUAUUAUCAAUGGAUGAUGAAUUGAUGUA
Molecule: long non-coding RNA, 1242 nt
Organism: Zingiber officinale
Lineage: Eukaryota; Viridiplantae; Streptophyta; Magnoliopsida; Zingiberales; Zingiberaceae
Exons: 2
Source: RefSeq, a predicted model, not a curated record